ACACCCACUUUCACUCUGCCAACUGGACUUAUGUCUUUAUUGGUCAUUCAAGUGGGGCAAAGGAAUAACCUUUUAGAACUCAGGCAAACUGGGCGUUUGUCUUGUAACCUGUCAGAGGAAACAUUG
RNAcentral lists this small nucleolar RNA (126 nucleotides) under Bison bison bison. RNAcentral's name for it is "Small nucleolar RNA SNORA27 (ENSBBBG00000011736.1)". It matches the Rfam family "Small nucleolar RNA SNORA27". From Rfam's summary of the family: ACA27 is a member of the H/ACA class of snoRNA that guide the sites of modification of uridines to pseudouridines. Lineage: Eukaryota; Metazoa; Chordata; Mammalia; Artiodactyla; Bovidae. The record is from Rfam by way of RNAcentral.